RNAcentral lists this unclassified non-coding RNA (333 nucleotides) under soil metagenome. RNAcentral describes it as "partial contains 5.8S ribosomal RNA, internal transcribed spacer 2, and large subunit ribosomal RNA". The stretch from base 1 to 120 matches the Rfam family "5.8S ribosomal RNA", at positions 35 to 154 of the family's 154-position model. The record is from RNAcentral.
GAUGAAGAACGCAGCGAAAUGCGAUAAGUAAUGCGAAUUGCAGAAUUCAGUGAAUCAUCGAAUCUUUGAACGCACAUUGCGCCCGCCAGUAUUCUGGCGGGCAUGCCUGUUCGAGCGUCAUUUCAACCCUCAAGCUCAGCUUGGUGUUGGGACUCGCGGUAACCCGCGUUCCCCAAAUCGAUUGGCGGUCACGUCGAGCUUCCAUAGCGUAGUAAUCAUACACCUCGUUACUGGUAAUCGUCGCGGCCACGCCGUAAAACCCCAACUUCUGAAUGUUGACCUCGGAUCAGGUAGGAAUACCCGCUGAACUUAAGCAUAUCAAUAAGCGGAGGA